Molecule: long non-coding RNA, 474 nt
Organism: Anastrepha obliqua
Lineage: Eukaryota; Metazoa; Arthropoda; Insecta; Diptera; Tephritidae
Exons: 4
Source: RefSeq, a predicted model, not a curated record
CUCGUCAUGAAGCAAAUAAUUUGUUAUUACAAAUGAUCAAUUUUUGGUGUUCAUGUUUCCAAGCUCCUCCUCCUAUUUGUGGUGCGCGUCUUGAUAUUGAAAGUAAUAUAUGCAUCGACCAAUGAUAUGGAGGUAUGUACUUCUGGAUCACAGCCUCUAGUCACCGUUGCUGCAGUUUGCGCAAUACAAAUCUAAAUCAUUGAAGCUGUUCCUAAAACUGGCAAGUGUUACUACUUUGAGAGUGAAUUCUCGGAAAUUAAGUUACUGGAUAUCUUUUCAUAAAUAGGCCUAGUUAUGAGCGACAAGUGCUUUCGUUAAGAUUUUAUUUCUCGUUGUGGCAAUUGCGUUAAGACCACUAUGCCAAGAGCAACGUGCUAGUAUUCCAGCUUGGAGUGAAUCGCGAGUCUCAGAUGUUGAUGGGUAAUCGAACCGUCACAUAUACAGGGUCCGGCACUCGAAGUGUAACUAAUUAAA